Molecule: long non-coding RNA, 6891 nt
Filed under: Fragaria vesca (wild strawberry)
Lineage: Eukaryota; Viridiplantae; Streptophyta; Magnoliopsida; Rosales; Rosaceae
Description: long non-coding RNA (FVES_LNC003677)
Source: RNAcentral
GAUUUCAACCUGCCACACAUCUCUAGUUUCCAAAUCCUCAACUGCGAUAUAUUCGGACAACACCAUUCACUUGUCUAUUUCCACUAACCGUAGAUAAGGGAUUCAUGACUUAAAUAACUCUUACUUCUAUACAAAUAAGCUAAAAUUAACUUCUUGCAUUCCAUAUCUGAUUUCAACUCUCCAAGUAGACUUUCGACCUUCCACAAUUCACUCGUAUGAAUCACUUGCUCAAAAUAAUCUUAAUCCUCGAAAAUAUCUCAAAAAAUUUUGUACCUAUAGCGAUAGAUUACCUACCAAAGAAAACAUGAAAAUUGUAAAUCACUCAACUCAGCCAAAUAAUUACUGCCGAACAUAACGCAAGAAAAUGCAUUUCUUCUUCUCAUACUGCAUCAGAUUCUAGAACCUCAAACUAUCCUCAAUACGCCCAGUCUACUCCUCAGACUUCCUACUAUUGUGAUCCCAAGUAUUUACCAAAAAUAAACCCUGCUCAUCACAAAAUCUGGUAACAUGUUCCUAGGAGAACCUAAUUUUACUCCUAAUAACCUUGCACAUGGUCGGCAUAAAUAAUCCCCAAGUACUUACAGACUAGUUGUGGAAGCCCCAUCUCAUGCAUAUCUCUGCUAUAAAAGUUUCCCCAAAACUAUUAAAUGUCUCUUAAAAACAACAAUUCUCCAUACCAUAGUUUAGUAAGUGAUCGGCCGAAACUACUUCUCAAAGUAUGUACAUUUUGAUCUAUUCUACAACAUCAACAAUGACCUAGAACCUCUGAGUCUACUUUCCAUUACCAAAAUCCUAUGCAAUUAACCUGAUCAUAAUCCAAAUUUACACAUCUUUCACUUGAUCACCAGAGAACAUUUGCUAAUCUUAUAGAAACAAUCUUAAGCAACAAAACCUAGUAAAGCCUAACUCAUGUAAACAAUAGUAUGUAAUUUAUGCUUUAUAUAAAGAUCACAAAGCAAAUCAAUCGAAUUAACACCAUUCACUUGUCUAUUUCCACUAACCAUAGAUAAGGGAUUCUCCAUACUCAGAAAACUGAUAUGCAGAAUUUCUUACUGCAGACCCUCAACUUUGAAAAAUCAUAUCUUAAUCUAAACAAUUCCUUUUGAAGUGAUUCAUUUUCUGGAACAAUAUUUAAUAUGUUUGCUACAAUUUUUAUGAAGAAACCAACUUCAGAUAACCAAUCUAAAUAUACAACCUUUCAAACAAAGUGACAUACUCCACCUUUAGAUAACCUAUUUCCACUACCCGUAGAUAAUGGAUUUAUGACUUAAAUAACUCUUACUUCUGUCCGAAUAUGCUAAAAUUAACUCCUUGCAUUCCAUCUCUGAUCCCAACUCUCCAAGUAUAGACUUUCUUCCUCCCACAAUUCCCUCCUAUGAAUCACUUGCUCAAAAUAAUCUCAAUCCUCGAAAACUUUUGUACCUAUUAUACCAAGUUAAACUUGAAAAUGGUAAAUCUCUCAACUCAGCCAAAUGAUUGUUGUCGAACAUAAAGCACGCAAAUGCAUUUCAUCUUCUCAUACUGCACCAGAUUCUAGAACCUCAAACUAUCCUCAAAACGCACAAGCCUAGUCCUCAAACUUCCUACUAUUGUGAUCCCAAGUAUUUACCAAUAAUAAAGCCUGCUUAUCACAAAAUCUGCUAACAUGUUCCUAGGAGGACCUAAUUUAACUCCUAAUAACCUUGCAUCCGGUCUGUUUUAAAUAAUCCCCAAGUACUUACACACUAGUUGUUGAAGCCCCAUCUCUCAUGCAUAUCUCUGCUAUAAAAGUUUUCUCCAAGACUAUUAGAUGUCUCUUCAAAACAACAAUUCUCCAUACCUAGUUUAGUACUCCAAGUGAUCUGCCGAAACUACUUCUCAAAGUAUGUACAUUUUGAUCUAUUCCACAACAUCAACAAUGACCUAGAACCUCCGAGACUACUUUCCAUUCCCAAAAUCUUAUUCCAUUAACUUGAUCAUAAUCCUAAUUUGCACAUCUAUCACUUGAACAAUUUGCUAAUCUUACAGAAACUAUCUUAAGCAACAAAGCCUAGUAAAGCCUAACUCAUGUAAACAAUAGUAUGUAAUUUAUGCUUUAUAUAAAGAUCACAUAGCUAUUGCCAAUGUCCAUGUCCCUGCAUAGAUAUAGAUAUCCGAAUACAAUUCACAAUCCUAUCCAUAAGCACACAUUUAAUUUUAAACACAAUAGCUAUCAUAUGGUUUAAGACCAUACUUUACUUUAAAGCAUACGCCUCAAAAACAUAGUACCUAAAAUCUCAGGCCAUUAAGAUAACAUUGGACGUGCUAGAUAACUAAGUAAAAUGUGAUGUAGAUUUAUUUUGAAAAAAAAACUGUUACACAUAGCUGAUUUCAAAAUGGCAUAAGUAUCUCAAAUAAAUCUGAAAAAUAAUGUCACAAGCUUUGUUUGAAAGUUGAGAAUGUGUGUGUUCAGUUUGUGAUGAAUUUGAACAAGUUUCAAUGAAAGAAUCCAUUGAAAUAAAAAAGAACAAACAAUAAAAUAAUAAGAAUUGCAGUAUUUCCUGAUGCAGACUCUCAACUUCGGAAAAUCAUAACUUAAUCUACAAAACUCCUUAUUAAGAGAUUCAAAUUCAGGAAUAAUAUUUAACAUGUGUACUAUAACUUUUAUGAAGACAACAACUUCAAAUACUCAGCUGAAAUGCACAGAUUUUAGUAAAAAGGCAGCUGGGUCAAAAACUCAGAAAACUGAUCUGCAGAAUUUCUUACUGCAGACCCUCAACUUUGAAAAAUCAUAUCUUAAUCUAAACAAUUCCUUUUGAAGUGAUUCAAGUUCUGGAACAAUAUUUAAUAUGUCUGCUACAACUUUUAUGAAGAAACCAACUUCAGAUAACCAAUCUAAAUAUACAGCUUUUCAAACAAAGUGACAGACUCCACCUUCAGAUAACCUAUUUCCACCAACCGUAGAUAAGGGAUUCAUGACUUAAAUAACUCGUACUCCUGUCCAAAUAUGCUAAAAUUAACUCCUUGCAUUCCAUAUCUGAUCUCAACUCUCAAAGUAUAGAUUUUCUUCCUUCCACAAUUCCCUCCUAUGAAUCACUUGCUCAAAAUAAUCUCAAUACUCGAAAAUAUCUCAAAAACUUAUGUACCUAUAACUAUACAUUACCUACCAAAGAAAACUUGAAAAUUGUAAAUCUCUAAACUCAGCCAAAUGAUUAUUGUGGAACAUAACGCAGAUUCUAGAACCUCAAACUAUCCUCAAUAUGCUCAAGUCUACUCCUAAGACAUUCUACUAUUGUGAUCCCCAGUAUUUACCAAAAAUAAACCCUGCUUAUCACAAAAUCUGGAAACAUGUUCCUAGGAGAACCUAAUUUUACUCCUAAUAACCUUGCACAUGGUCUGCAUAAAUAAUACCCAAGUACUUACAGACUAGUUGUGGAAACCCCAUCUCUCAUGCAUAUCUCUGUUAUAAAAGUUUCUCCAAAACUAGUAAAUGUCUCUUCAAAACAACAAUUCUCCAUAACUAGUUUAGUAAGUGAUCUGCCGAAACUACUUCUCAAAAUAUGUACAUUUUGAUCUAUUCUACACCAUCAACAAUGACCUGGAACCUCCGAGUCUACUCUCCAUUACCAAAAUCCUAUGCAAUUAACCUGAUCAUAAUCCAAAUUUGCACAUCCUUCACUUGAUCACCAGAGAACAAUUGCUAAUCUUACAGAAACUAUCUUAAGCAACAAAGCCUAGUAAAGCCUAACUCAUGUAAACAAUAGUAUGUAAUUUAUGCUUUAUAUAAAGAUCACAUAGCUAUUGCCAAUGUCCAUGUCCCUGCAUAGAUAUAGAUAUCCGAAUACAAUUCACAAUCCUAUCCAUAAGCACACAUUUAAUUUUAAACACAAAAGCUAUCAUAUGGUUUAAGACUAUACUUUAAAGCAUACGCCUCAAAACAUAGUACCUAAAAUCUCUGGCCAUUAAGAUAACAUUGGACGUGCUAGUUAACUAAGCAAAAUGUGAUGUUGAAUUAUUUUGAAGAAAAACAGUUACACAUGGCUGAUUUCAAAAUGGCAUAAGUAUCUCAAAUAAAUUUGGAAAAUAAUGUUACAAGCUUUGUUUGAAAGUUGAGAAUGUGUGUGUUCAGUUUGCGAUGAAUUUAAACAAGUUUGAAUGAAAGAAUCCAUUGAAAUCAAAAGGAAAAAACAGUAAAAUAAUAAGAAAUGCAGUAUUUCCUGAUGCAGACUCUCAACUUCGGAAAAUCAUAACUUAAUCUACAAAACUCCUUAUUAAGAGAUUCAAAUUCAGGAAUAAUAUUUAACAUGUGUACGAUAACUUUUAUGAAGACAACAACUUCAAAUACUAACUGAAAUGCACAGAUUUUAGUAAAAAGGCAGCUGGGUCAAAAACUCAGAAAACUGAUCUGCAGAAUUUCUUACUGCAGACCCUCAACUUUGAAAAAUCAUAUCUUAAUCUAAACAAUUCCUUUUGAAGUGAUUCAAGUUCUGGAACAAUAUUUAAUAUUUCUGCUACAACUUUUAUAAAGAAACCAACUUCAGAUAACCAAUCUAAAUAUACAGCUUUUCAAACAAAGUGACAGACUCCACCUUCAGAUAACUUAUUUCCACUAACCGUAGAUAAGGGAUUCAUGACUUAAAUAACUCGUACUCCUGUCCAAAUAUGCUAAUAUUAACUCCUUGCAUUCCAUAUCUGAUCUCAACUCUCAAAGUAUAGAUUUUCUUCCUUCCACAAUUCCCUCCUAUGAAUCACUUGCUCAAAAUAAUCUUAAUACUCGAAAAUAUCUCAAAAACUUAUGUACCUAUAACUAUACUAAUCUACCAAAGAAAACUUGAAAAUUGUAAAUCUCUAAACUCAGCCAAAUGAUAACUGUGGAACAUAACGCAGAUUCUAGAACCUCAAACUAUCCUCAAUAUGCCCAAGUCUACUCCUAAGACUUCCUACUAUUGUGAUCCCAAGUAUUUACCAAAAAUAAACCAUGCUUAUCACAAAAUCUGGAAACAUGUUCCUAGGAGAACCUAAUUUUACUCCUAAUAACCUUGCACAUGGUCUGCAUAAAUAAUACCCAAGUACUUACAGACUAGUUGUGGAAACCCAAUCUCUCAUGCAUAUCUCUGUUAUAAAAGUUUCUCCAAAACUAGUAAAUGUCUCUUCAAAACAACAAUUCUCCAUAACUAGUUUAGUAAGUGAUCUGCCGAAACUACUCAAAAUAUGUACAUUUUGAUCUAUUCUACAACAUCAACAAUGACCUAGAACCUCCGAGUCUACUCUCCAUUACCAAAAUCCUAUGCAAUUAACCUGAUCAUAAUCCAAAUUUGCACAUCCUUCACUUGAUCACCAGAGAACAAUUGCUAAUCUUACAGAAACUAUCUUAAGCAACAAAGCCUAGUAUGUAAACAAUAGUAUGUAAUUCAUGCUUUAUAUAAAGAUCACAUAGCUAUUGCCAAUGUACAUGUCCCUGCAUAGAAAUAGAUAUCAGAAUACAAUUCACAAACCUAUCUAUAAGCACACAUUUAAUUUUAAACACAAAAGCUAUCAUAUGGCUUAAGAACAUACUUUACCUUAAAGCAUACUCCUCAAAAACAUAGUACCUAAAAUCUCAGGCCAUUAAGAAAGCAUUUGACGUGCUAGAUAACUAAGCAAAAUGUGAUGUAGAUUUAUUUUGAAGAAAAACUGUUACACAUGGCUGAUUUCAAAAUCGCAUAAGUAUCUCAAAUAAAUUUGGAAAAUAAUGUCACAAGCUUUGUUUGAAAGUUGACAAUGUGUGUGUUCAGUUUGUGAUGAAUUUAAACAAUUUUGAAUGAAAAAAUCCAUUGAAAUCAAAAGGAACAAACUGUCAAAUAAUAAGAAAUAGUAAUUCCUGAUACAAAACUCCUUAUUAAGAGAUUCAAAUUCAGGAUUAGUAUUUAACAUGUGUACUAUAACUUUUAUAAGGACAACAACUUCAAAUACUCAACUGAAAUGCACAGAUUUUAGUAAAAAGGCAGCUGGGUCAAAAACUCAGAAAACAGAUCUGCAGCUUUUCAAACAAAGUGACAGACUCCACCUUUAGAUAACCUAUUUCCAGUAACCGUAGAUAAGGGAUUUAUGACUUAUAUAACUCUAACUUCUGUCCAAAUAUGCUAAAAUUAACUCCUUGCAUUCCAUUUCUGUUCUCAACUCUCCAACUAUAGACUUUCUUCCUUCCACAAUUCCCUCCUAUGAAUCACUUCCAUAAGACUUAAGCUCAGGAAAUUUAGACCAACUCUCAAGUUUAAACUCGCUCCUAUUUGCAGGCUAACUAUUUGCUACUACUACAGUGAUAAUAAUUCUAAAUGAUUCUAAUCGUCUCAUCCUUAGCCUAAUCCAAAGGAGAUAAAAUCGUCUCAGUUUUGAAAUCUUGUAAAGCUAAACGACAUAAAAUUUUGAAAUAAGACGGUGAAGAAGAGACGACAACGCUUUGAGUUUGAAGGUCGCGCACCUGACCAACCUCCUUCUACAGCGACAACAUUUUCUGAAAGUUGUUAUAAGUUUGGGCUCGGGUUUACUAACUAUUAGGUCAAGGUUAAGGUCAUGGGCUAAAAAUUCUCCUACUUAAAUCGAAUGAAAACAAAAGCAAAAGAAACUAUGCAACUAUAUUAGUUUUCAGCAUAUAUAUAUAUAUAUAUAAGCCGGAUGUGGAGCGGACGUCCGCACUGGCCUUAAAGUGCUGACGUCCGUCCGUUCUCCACCCUCCGGCGCCGGCGACGGCACGCGUCCACCUCAAAAGACUCCAGCAGCGUCCCCGACCACUUUCCUUCCCCGGUGAGUCCAUUCUUUUCCAGUUUUCCGGCGAGAUCACCCAAAACUUCAAACAAAGUCGAUCUUGCCGGAAAUUGGAAAAAAACGGACUCGCCGGGGAGGGGAAGGUGGUCGGGGACGGCUGCUGGAGUCUUCUGGGGUGGAGGCGCGCCG